Molecule: ribosomal RNA, 253 nt
Filed under: uncultured bacterium
Lineage: Bacteria
Description: partial 16S ribosomal RNA
Rfam family: Bacterial small subunit ribosomal RNA
Source: RNAcentral
UACGUAGGGUGCAAGCGUUGUCCGGAAUUAUUGGGCGUAAAGAGCUUGUAGGCGGUUUGUCGCGUCUGCUGUGAAAUUUCGGGGCUCAACCCCGAACUUGCAGUGGGUACGGGCAGACUAGAGUGUGGUAGGGGAGACUGGAAUUCCUGGUGUAGCGGUGAAAUGCGCAGAUAUCAGGAAGAACACCAACGGCGAAGGCAGCUCGCUGGGACGGUACUGACGCUGAGACGCGAAAGCGUGGGGAGCGAACAGG